Non-coding RNA from Ceratotherium simum simum (southern white rhinoceros), 83 nucleotides. NCBI's taxonomy places the organism in Eukaryota, Metazoa, Chordata, Mammalia, Perissodactyla, Rhinocerotidae. The record is from RefSeq and is a predicted model, not a curated record.
AGGCUUUGAAACCUAAUCAAGGAACUCUCGACAUUUGCCAGAAUGGAUUUCAGAAUUGCUAUGGACCAGCAUCGCCUUUGUCU